AAGCCUUGGUGACUGAGCGGCGGACGGGUGAGUAACACGUAUCCAACCUGCCCUUUACUCGGGGAUAGCCUUUCGAAAGAAAGAUUAAUACCCGAUAGCAUAAUGAUUCCGCAUGGUUUCAUUAUUAAAGGAUUCCGGUAAAGGAUGGGGAUGCGUUCCAUUAGGUUGUUGGUGAGGUAACGGCCCACCAAGCCUUCGAUGGAUAGGGGUUCUGAGAGGAAGGUCCCCCACAUUGGAACUGAGACACGGUCCAA
RNAcentral lists this ribosomal RNA (254 nucleotides) under uncultured bacterium. RNAcentral describes it as "partial 16S ribosomal RNA". It matches the Rfam family "Bacterial small subunit ribosomal RNA", at positions 79 to 334 of the family's 1533-position model. The record is from RNAcentral.